AUUGAACGCUGGCGGCAGGCUUAACACAUGCAAGUCGAGCGGAGCGAGGGUGCUUGCACCUUAGCUUAGCGGCGGACGGGUGAGUAAUGCCUAGGAAUCUGCCUAUUAGUGGGGGACAACAUUCCGAAAGGAAUGCUAAUACCGCAUACGCCCUACGGGGGAAAGCAGGGGAUCUUCGGACCUUGCGCUAAUAGAUGAGCCUAAGUCGGAUUAGCUAGUUGGUGGGGUAAAGGCCUACCAAGGCGACGAUCUGUAGCGGGUCUGAGAGGAUGAUCCGCCACACUGGGACUGGGAAACGGCCCAGACUCCUACGGGAGGCAGCAGUGGGGAAUAUUGGACAAUGGGCGGAAGCCUGAUCCAGCCAUGCCGCGUGUGUGAAGAAGGCCUUUUGGUUGUAAAGCACUUUAAGCGAGGAGGAGGCUACUUAGAUUAAUACUCUGGGAUAGUGGACGUUACUCGCAGAAUAAGCACCGGCUAACUCUGUGCCAGCCGCCGCGGUAA
Molecule: ribosomal RNA, 501 nt
Filed under: uncultured bacterium
Lineage: Bacteria
Description: partial 16S ribosomal RNA
Rfam family: Bacterial small subunit ribosomal RNA
Source: RNAcentral